Molecule: long non-coding RNA, 4727 nt
Organism: Spodoptera frugiperda (fall armyworm)
Lineage: Eukaryota; Metazoa; Arthropoda; Insecta; Lepidoptera; Noctuidae
Exons: 2
Source: RefSeq, a predicted model, not a curated record
GACGGAAAGAAGGAUUUAUCGUUGUACCCAAUACAUAGGAUGAUAGAACUCAUUAACUGGUUAAAGCAGACGCUACGUUAUAUAAGUGCAACGUGCACCGCCUUCUCCUUCGGGAUGAAAUGGCGUUAUAAUUAUGUUAUGUUUGAUAGAAGCAUUCGGUGCUCAGCAUAAACUCCUUGCGAGUUUUUUCUUGUAGCUUUUUUAUGGAUCUGUGUGAUUCAGUGGUCUUCGAAAUAGGUCUAAUUGAUAGAGGGCUAGGGGGUAGGGUGGAUAAUCUGGUCUUAUUAGGAAAAGCAAAAGGAUUGGUAAACUCAUAGUGUUUUUGAUAGAAUGAGUGAGGUAGUUAGUAGGUACCUAUAGGUAUUUAUUAUUAGUAGGUAAUGUUAUGCUAGUAUUCAAAAAUCUAUUACGUUGCUUACAAGUUCUUACAGUUAUAGGGUAAACGCAGAAAAAUAGCUUAGAAAGUAUUUAUCUUGGAAUAUUUUGUAAUAAAAUUUAGAAACUUUGCAUUGCUAAUUGCUAUUUAAAAAAAAUUGUACAGGUAAAACUAGAGAUAUUUUCAUAAUUGUAUAUUACAUCUACUGCUUAGAGAUACUUAGGUAUUUUUAUAAUUACUAUCGUGAGAUAUACUACAUUAACUAAAAAGAACGGAUUACUCACGCAAAUAUACUGAGAAAAGAUCUACUAGUUUCGAGUCACAGCUUUCCUCAGUAUGUUGGCGGUAAUAAACCGUUAUUUUUACUUAUCUUACUAACUGCCGUACUCAGAGUCAUUUAAUGGUUACGUUACUUAACCCAAUCCUUAACAAUUGUUUUCAAUACAAAAUGGUUACUAAGGAAUAGUUUAAGUAAUCAUUAAAUGUCUCUGAGUGUGGCAGUAAGGUAUUGUUAUAAUAUUUAGGUCGUAACAUCAUCAUAAGUGUAAUUAUUCAUCCUCACAAUUUGUUAAGGAAUACGUAGGUCAAAGUUAGUUACCUAAAGCUAAGUGUAUUCUUAAUUUCUUAGUUUAAGUUGUCUAAAUCGAUUUUUGAAAAAAUACAAAGUUUUGUUAUAGAACUGACAUACAUACUUAGCUAAAUUAUUAUCAAGUCUAUGUAUAUGCUAGUCAUAUACCGUAAAACAGACUGAAAAGAAUCCGAGGGGUUAAUACAUACAGAAGAGGGAUGAAUUAACGUUGGGAAAAUGUCCUAACAUCUAUUCACCCCAUUCCUGUGUCUAUUCACUCUUUGAAUUCUAUUCAUUUUUAUUUAUUUAUUUUACCGUUAUAGUUCGGUAUCCAUCUAUAUUAUAUUGCAUUUAAAUUAAAAUUUUCUCUCAUCAUUAGGUACUUUGUAGAUAUAAUUACAUAUUAUAUCCUUUUAGAAUUACAUAUAAUAUAGUUAUAAAAAAUCCACUGGGAACAGACAGACAGAAAGCGUAGUGUUAGAAAUAAGGUUUUAAAAUUUAUGUGUAAAUACUAAGAAAUAGGUACUAUUAAUAGGUUUAUAUUUAUGCAAACCAACAUCGCUAUAAUAUUUAAUAUACAGACUGACUGGUGAGAUACGUUCAAUAUUUGAGGACGUGAUAGUAUACGAACAUAUAUCAUGAAAUAAAAUAACAAAAAUAUGAAAUAUUAAAUAACUUCUUAGUAAACUUCGUACACAGUACACCGAGAGUCCAGUAUUUAUUUAUUUAACUGCGGGAUACUUGGACACCGCACGGACGCCUGGGUUGCGCAGCGCGCUAUCAACACAGAAUACAUAGGUACCUACACUGUACAGCUGUUGCCUACCUACAUCGAGACCUAUCCCAAUUUCACUUAUUUUUAGAGACAUUUCGAUAAAAAAUUAAGCACCUAUUUUUUAUAUCAAGUUAACGAGAAUCGAGUACCGAGUACUCUCUAUAAGUAUUGAGCCUAUUUCACCAGUCACCCGGUAUACUUAGGUAUCCAUCUGUUUUAUAUUGCAUUUAAAUUAUUUUUUUCUUGGUAAGGAUAUACCUAUAAAUCAUCAUCACUUAGUAUAUUUACAUGUAUUCUAGAAUUACAUAUAAUAUGUAGCCAAUACUACAUAUGAAUACACUAGGAACAAACAGACAGAAAGCGUAGUGUUAGAAAUAAGGUUUUAAAAUUAAUGUGUAAAUACUAAGAAAUACUAUUAAUAGGUUAAUAUUUAUGCAUACCAACAUCUCUAUUAGAUAUAUAGGUAUCCAUCUGUAUUAUAUCGCAUUUAAAUUAUUUUUUUCUUGGUAAGGAUAUAUAAAUCAUCAUCACCUAGUAUAUUUACAUGUAUUCUAGAAUUAUAUAUGUAUGUAGUUAAUACUACAUAUGAAUACACUAGGAACAAACAGACAGAAAGCGUAGUUUUAGAAUUAAUGCGUAAAUACUAAAAAAAUGUAAUAUAGGCAUCGCUAGAAUAUUAUAUAUAUAGGUAUCCAUCUGUAUUAUAUUGCAUUUAAAUUAUUUUUUUCUUGGUAAGGAUAUACCUAUAAAUCAUCAUCACUUAGUAUAUUUACAUGUAUUCUAGAAUUAUGUAUAAAUGUAGUUAAUACUACAUAUGAAUACACUAGGAACAAACAGACAGAAAGCGUAGUGUUAGAAAUAAGGUUUUAAAAUUAAUGUGUAAAUACUAAGAAAUAAUAUUAAUAGGAUAAUAUUUAUGCAUACCAACAUCUCUAUUAGAUAUUAUAGGUAUCCAUCUGUAUUAUAUUGCAUUUAAAUUAAAAUUUUCUUGGUAAGGAUAUAUAAGUCAUCAUUACUUUGUAUAAUUAUAUAUAUCCUUCUAGAAUUAUAUUAUAUAAUAUGUAAAUAUUAAAGUUUACUAAUAAUAGGUUCAUAUUUAAGCAUACUUACAUCGCUAGUAUGUUGGGUAAUCAUCUACAUUAUAUUGCAUUCUUUCAUUAUUCCUUCAUUCAUUCAUUUAUUCAUUUCUAACAUUUUCUCGAUAAGGAUAUCAUUACUUAAAAUAACGGUGUAAACCGUUAUUUUAAGACGACAACCGAGGUUUAAUUAAUUUAGCAUGUCUCACGACAGUUAUUAUAAAAAUAUUACUUAGAAUAUUUACAUAUAGGUAUCCAUCUAGAAUUAUAUUUGUAUUUAAUACUUCUGAUGAAGUCAGUGUGGACAGACGACAACCGAGUUUUAAUUAAUUUAGCAUGUAUUGUCUCACGAUAGUUAUUUUAAAAAUAUUACUCAGAAUAUUUACGUAUAUCCAUCUAGAAUUAUACCUAUUUGUAUUUAAUAUUUCAGAUGAAGUCAGUGUGGACAGACGACAACCGAGUUUUAAUUAAUUUAGCAUGUAUUGUUUCACGAUAGUUAUUAUAAAAAUAUUACUUAGAAUAUUUACGUAUAUCCAUCUAGAAUUAUAUUUGUAUUUAAUACUUCAGAUGAAGUCAGUGUGGACAGACGACAGCCCAGUUUUAGGAAUAGUGUAAUGUAAUGUCUAGAUACUAAGAUUUAUAUGUAAUAGGUUCAUAUUUACGUCUACUUAUAAUUUAAAUAUGUACCAAGUUUCUAUUUCAUCCUCUAUGUAUGUACGCAUUUAAUAAUUAAUCUAUUGAUAUUUUUGAAUUAUGGUCGAGUAUGAUCGAUAACCGUGUCUUUCGACAGUAUAUUUAAAUUCAAGGCAACGUAUGAAUCAUUUUAAAAAUGUGAUGUCUAAAUAAUGUACCUAUAAAGAAUAACUUUGGCACAAAAAAUAGGGAUGAGCUUACGGUAUGAAAAUUAAACUAUCCGUCAGUCUGGUAAUGAAAAAAUAUUAGAGAUGCACUUAUUUGUCGUAAUAAAAAAAAAUAGAUAGGUAUACCUAUAUUGAACUAAAAUUUAGAAAUACGGGAGCUCGCCAUCGCUCAGUAUAAAAUACUAAGAUGUGACUAUCGGCGAAAGUUUGACUCCAUAAAAAAAAGACGACAAUAUAUUCUGUUAUUGAGAAGAUGACAAUACUAAAAAAAUUAUCGUCAUCCCUAUAAAAUUAUCGAAAUUAAUGUUAUGUGAUAUUAUGGCAUAAUUAUGUAUGUAUAAUGAUGAUGAUGAUGAUGUAUUUUAAGGUGGAAUAUUGAAGGGUAAUGGAAAUUGACCGUAGGAUUGGCACAGUGGGUUGGCAACCGGCUCCUGUGCAAUGUGUCACACACGGGCUUAAUUCCCGCAUUCAAUUGUGUGAUCGACACAUUAUUGUUCCGAGUUUGGGUAUGAUAUACAUAAUUAUAUGAAAAUGUAUCUUUAUAAAUAUGUUUAACAGCAGCCAAGAUUCAAUAGAACAGAUUGUUUUUGCACUACAUUAAUUGAUAAGUAGUACCUAGAAAUUAGCUGUUAUGUUUACCUAAUUAAUAGUAUAAAAUACAUGAGCGUCUUUAAAAACAUAAAGGUACGUCUACGCUAGACGAACCGAGCACGAGCCGAACAAAAUUCGUCUAGUGUGGACCAACUUACAAGCCUCGAACGAGCGCGCUAGCGAGCAUUUCGUUCGUGCUCGGCUGCGUUCCGCCUGUUGUCGGUUUAUGACGAACAUAAAGGGAUCCGCCCGUGCUCCGCUCUCCUAGCGUAGAUGUACCUUAACCAUCCUUCAGCGUCUCUUCGAUUUAUAACUAUUCAGUGUAUUUAAAAUAACAUGUAUCUACCUAUGUAUUAUGCUAAAAUGCUAUUUAUGUAAACAAAGCGCUCCACCAAAAUUAAGAUAUUGUUGAUUCAACCACUGCUUCUUUGUAAUAUCUGUGUGUAUUUAAGAAUAAAUAUUUUUUUUCUUCUAUGAGCAA